This 253-nucleotide ribosomal RNA is filed under the name uncultured bacterium. RNAcentral describes it as "partial 16S ribosomal RNA". It matches the Rfam family "Bacterial small subunit ribosomal RNA", at positions 524 to 776 of the family's 1533-position model. The record is from RNAcentral.
UACGUAGGGUGCGAGCGUUGCCCGGAUUUAUUGGGCGUAAAGGGCGCGUAGGCGGUUGGACAAGUCAAAGGUGAAAUCCCUCGGCUCAACUGAGGAACUGCCUUUGAAACUGUCCGGCUUGAGGCCGGGAGGGGGUAGCGGAAUUCCCAGUGUAGCGGUGAAAUGCGUAGAUAUUGGGAGGAACACCAGUGGCGAAGGCGGCUACCUGGACCGGUUCUGACGCUGAUGCGCGAAAGCGUGGGUAGCAAACAGG